UACGUAGGUGACUAGCGUUGUCCGGAUUUACUGGGCGUAAAGAGCGCGCAGGCGGUCGUUCAAGUCGAGUGUGAAAGCCCCCGGCUCAACUGGGGAGGGUCAUUAGAUACUGAUCGACUCGAAGGCAGGAGAGGGAAGUGGAAUUCCCGGUGUAGUGGUGAAAUGCGUAGAUAUCGGGAGGAACACCAGUGGCGAAGGCGACUUCCUGGCCUGUUCUUGACGCUGAGGCGCGAAAGCUAGGGGAGCAAACGGG
Molecule: ribosomal RNA, 253 nt
Filed under: uncultured bacterium
Lineage: Bacteria
Description: partial 16S ribosomal RNA
Rfam family: Bacterial small subunit ribosomal RNA
Source: RNAcentral